AAGUCGUAACAAGGUUUCCGUAGGUGAACCUGCGGAAGGAUCAUCAUCGAAUUCAUAUCCCCCUCCUCAACCGGAGGGGGACCCAUGAUAAACCCUUCUGUGCACCGUAAACCGUUCACUUUGGCAGGCUUUGGUGGUGAGCGUGAGCUCGCCUCCAACCUCGCGUUCCCUCCCUAAGGGGUGUUACGCGUGGCGGCCUGCCGGAGUCCCAUUAAAAAACUCGUUUUCGAACACGUCUGAAAAUUUCCUUUGAGAAAUCAAAGAACCGAAAACAACUUUCAACAACGGAUCUCUUGGCUCUC
RNAcentral lists this unclassified non-coding RNA (302 nucleotides) under fungal sp. RNAcentral's name for it is "partial internal transcribed spacer region". The stretch from base 1 to 46 matches the Rfam family "Eukaryotic small subunit ribosomal RNA", at positions 1786 to 1831 of the family's 1831-position model. The record is from RNAcentral. Lineage: Eukaryota; Fungi.